RNAcentral lists this non-coding RNA (24 nucleotides) under Arabidopsis thaliana (thale cress). The record is from RNAcentral. Lineage: Eukaryota; Viridiplantae; Streptophyta; Magnoliopsida; Brassicales; Brassicaceae.
UGACGAGGCGAUGAAUCGCAUGUA